UAUAUUCAGUGUCGUAUUUACUAUUUUCUCGGACACGCUAAUGGUUUAAGAAUAAUAAGCUGAAACAUGAAUACUGAAGCCGUAAUAAAGCGUUAUUUGACAAAUAUUAUUGGACACGUUGAGGAGGAAAAAUAUUUCUCCUUUAUGGGAAAAAUAUAAAAUCAUUUAAAUAUGUUGAGAGCAUUCCAUCUAUGGUUCAAAUUUCAAACUUUCAUCACCACAACAAAUGUACUAAAAACCAUCACAUUUUGUUUGUUGCAUACAUUUUUUGUCAACAAUCAGAAUUAUAACUUACUAUGGGAAGUCUUAUAUGACUGCAUAAUAGUCCAGAAAGUUAUGCUUGGUGAAUAUAAGCAUGCUAUUAAAAUUUAUGAAUCCAAAUUUGGCAAGAAGAAGGCAUCGAGUUGAAGGGCAUCGGUCUUUGGAUUAUACCGGAAAUAAUUUGAUGGUUCCAGUAGAAAAUCAGAACACCRACAUCAAUUUUUCAACAAAUUAACCUUCAUCAACCGGUGGUUGAAACCCUGGAACUACAAUUAUUUCAGAUUGUUGG
This is a long non-coding RNA of Diuraphis noxia (Russian wheat aphid), 550 nucleotides long. Lineage: Eukaryota; Metazoa; Arthropoda; Insecta; Hemiptera; Aphididae. The record is from RefSeq and is a predicted model, not a curated record.